This 626-nucleotide ribosomal RNA is filed under the name Glomeromycotina sp. Its description in RNAcentral is "SSU rRNA". It matches the Rfam family "Eukaryotic small subunit ribosomal RNA", at positions 486 to 1113 of the family's 1831-position model. The record is from RNAcentral. Lineage: Eukaryota; Fungi; Glomeromycota.
CGGGGUUCUUUAGGAUCUCGUAAUUGGAAUGAGUACAAUUUAAAUCUCUUAACGAGGAACAAUUGGAGGGCAAGUCUGGUGCCAGCAGCCGCGGUAAUUCCAGCUCCAAUAGCGUAUAUUAAAGUUGUUGCAGUUAAAAAGCUCGUAGUUGAAUUUCGGGGUCAGUAGGUCGGUCGUGCCACUGGUAUGAACUGGUUUUACUGAUUCCUCCCUCUUGAAGAACUGUAAUGCCAUUAAUUUGGUGUUGCAGGGAAUCAGGACUGUUACUUUGAAAAAAUUAGAGUGUUUAAAGCAGGCUUUAGCUUGAAUACAUUAGCAUGGAAUAAUGAAAUAGGACGUUUGAUCCUAUUUUGUUGGUUUCUAGGAUUGACGUAAUGAUUAAUAGGGAUAGUUGGGGGCAUUAGUAUUCAAUUGUCAGAGGUGAAAUUCUUGGAUUUAUUGAAGACUAACUACUGCGAAAGCAUUUGCCAAGGAUGUUUUCAUUAAUCAAGAACGAAAGUUAGGGGAUCGAAGACGAUCAGAUACCGUCGUAGUCUUAACCAUAAACUAUGCCGACUAGGGAUCGGAUGAUGUUAAUUUUUUAAUGACUCAUUCGGCGCCUUACGGGAAACCAAAGUGUUUGGGUU